Molecule: ribosomal RNA, 328 nt
Filed under: uncultured eukaryote
Lineage: Eukaryota
Description: partial 18S ribosomal RNA
Rfam family: Eukaryotic small subunit ribosomal RNA
Source: RNAcentral
CCCUUAGAUGUUCUGGGCCGCACGCGCGCUACAAUGAUGAAUUCAACGAGUUUAUAACCUUGGUUGAAAAGCCUGGGUAAUCUUUUGAACUUUCGUCGUGAUGGGGCUAGACCCUUGCAAUUAUUGGUCUCCAACGAGGAAUUCCUAGUAAACGCAGAUCAUCAAUCUGCAUUGAUUACGUCCCUGCCCUUUGUACACACCGCCCGUCGCACCUACCGAUUGGAUGGUCCGGUGAAGCCUCGGGAUUGUGGUUCUUGCCGCUUUAUUAUGGCGUGACCGCGAGAACUUGUCUAAACCUUAUCAUCUAGAGGAAGGUGAAGUCGUAACA